Molecule: ribosomal RNA, 362 nt
Filed under: uncultured fungus
Lineage: Eukaryota; Fungi
Description: eukaryotic LSU rRNA
Rfam family: 5.8S ribosomal RNA (bases 1-126)
Source: RNAcentral
GCAUCGAUGAAGAACGCAGCAAAAUGCGAUACGUAAUGUGAAUUGCAGAUUUCAGUGAAUCAUCAAAUCUUUGAACGCAACUUGCGCUUAAGGCCAAUUACCUUAAGCACGUUUGUUUGAGUGUCGGUAAAUAUCUUAAUCUAACUGAUAUGAGUUUCAAUCCUACUUUUGUAUGAUCGUUACUUUAAAGGUAUUUAUCUUCUUGAUUUUAAUCAAUACUACUAUUAUGUAGCAAAGACUCCUUUUAGGAAUCUAAAUACAUUCUAGUGAAUUGUUUAUCAUCAUCAUUGUUCCUCUCCAUUAUUCGACCUCAAAUCAAGCGAGAUUACCGGCUGAACUUAAGCAUAUCAAUAAGCGGAGGA